RNAcentral lists this ribosomal RNA (447 nucleotides) under uncultured bacterium. RNAcentral describes it as "bacterial SSU rRNA". It matches the Rfam family "Bacterial small subunit ribosomal RNA", at positions 338 to 795 of the family's 1533-position model. The record is from RNAcentral.
CCUACGGGUGGCUGCAGUCGAGGAUCUUCGGCAAUGGACGCAAGUCUGACCGAGCGACGCCGCGUGUGCGAUGAAGGCCUUCGGGUUGUAAAGCACUGUCGAGAGGGAACAAGCCGCAAGGUUGAGUGACCUCUGGAGGAAGGACGGGCUAAGUUCGUGCCAGCAGCCGCGGUAAGACGAACCGUCCAAACGUUAUUCGGAAUCACUGGGCUUAAAGGGCGCGUAGGCGGGCGAUCAAGUCAGGGGUGAAAUCCUCCAGCUCAACUGGAGAAGUGCCUUUGAUACUGGUUGUCUAGAGUGAGGUAGGGGCAUGUGGAACUUCCAGUGGAGCGGUGAAAUGCGUAGAUAUUGGAAGGAACACCAGUGGCGAAAGCGAUGUGCUGGAUCUCAACUGACGCUGAGGCGCGAAAGCUAGGGGAUCAAACGGGAUUAGAUACCCUUGUAGUC